Molecule: ribosomal RNA, 505 nt
Filed under: uncultured bacterium
Lineage: Bacteria
Description: partial 16S ribosomal RNA
Rfam family: Bacterial small subunit ribosomal RNA
Source: RNAcentral
GACGAACGCUGGCGGCGUGCCUAAUACAUGCAAGUAGAACGCACAGUUUAUACCGUAGCUUGCUACACCAUAGACUGUGAGUUGCGAACGGGUGAGUAACGCGUAGGUAACCUGCCUGGUAGCGGGGGAUAACUAUUGGAAACGAUAGCUAAUACCGCAUAAUAUUGAUUAUUGCAUGAUAAUUGAUUGAAAGGUGCUAUUGCAUCACUACCAGAUGGACCUGCGUUGUAUUAGCUAGUAGGUGAGGUAACGGCUCACCUAGGCGACGAUACAUAGCCGACCUGAGAGGGUGAUCGGCCACACUGAGACUGAGACACGGCCCAGACUCCUACGGGAGGCAGCAGUAGGGAAUCUUCGGCAAUGGACGAAAGUCUGACCGAGCAACGCCGCGUGAGUGAAGAAGGUUUUCGGAUCGUAAAGCUCUGUUGUAAGAGAAGAACGGGUGUGAGAGUGGAAAGUUCACACUGUGACGGUAUCUUACCAGAAAGGGACGGCUAACUACGUG